This 521-nucleotide ribosomal RNA is filed under the name uncultured beta proteobacterium. Its description in RNAcentral is "bacterial SSU rRNA". It matches the Rfam family "Bacterial small subunit ribosomal RNA", at positions 8 to 524 of the family's 1533-position model. Lineage: Bacteria; Pseudomonadati; Pseudomonadota; Betaproteobacteria. The record is from RNAcentral.
AGAGUUGUAUCCUGGCUCAGAUUGAACGCUGGCGGCAUGCCUUACACAUGCAAGUCGAACGGCAGCACGGGAGCAAUCCUGGUGGCGAGUGGCGAACGGGUGAGUAAUAUAUCGGAACGUGCCCAGUCGUGGGGGAUAACGUAGCGAAAGCUACGCUAAUACCGCAUACGAUCUAUGGAUGAAAGCGGGGGAUCGCAAGACCUCGCGCGAUUGGAGCGGCCGAUAUCAGAUUAGGUAGUUGGUGAGGUAAAGGCUCACCAAGCCGACGAUCUGUAGCUGGUCUGAGAGGACGACCAGCCACACUGGGACUGAGACACGGCCCAAACUCCUACGGGAGGCAGCAGUGGGGAAUUUUGGACAAUGGGCGCAAGCCUGAUCCAGCAAUGCCGCGUGCAGGAUGAAGGCCUUCGGGUUGUAAACUGCUUUUGUACGGAACGAAACGGUGAGCUCUAAUACAGUUUGCUAAUGACGGUACCGUAAGAAUAAGCACCGGCUAACUACGUGCCAGCAGCCGCGGUAAU